AACGAACGCUGGCGGCAUGCCUAACACAUGCAAGUCGAACGAGACCUUCGGGUCUAGUGGCGCACGGGUGCGUAACGCGUGGGAACCUGCCCUUAGGUUCGGAAUAACUCUCCGACAGGGGUGCUAAUACCGGAUAAUGUCUUCGGCCCAAAGAUUUAUCGCCUUUGGAUGGGCCCGCGUGGGAUUAGCUAGUUGGUAGGGUAAAAGCCUACCAAGGCGACGAUCCAUAGCUGGUCUGAGAGGAUGAUCAGCCACACUGGGACUGAGACGCGGCCCAGAAUCCUACGGGAGGCAGCAGUGGGGAAUAUUGGAAAACGGGCGAAAGCAUGAUCCAGCAAUGACGGGUGAGUGAUGAAGGCCUUAGGGUUGUAAAGCUCUUUUACCCGGGAUGAUAAUGACAGUACCGGGAGAAUAAGCCCCGGCUAACUCCGUG
This 433-nucleotide ribosomal RNA is filed under the name uncultured bacterium. RNAcentral describes it as "partial 16S ribosomal RNA". It matches the Rfam family "Bacterial small subunit ribosomal RNA", at positions 29 to 507 of the family's 1533-position model. The record is from RNAcentral.